UUUUUUUUAAAAGAAAAAAGAAAUUUUAAUUCAUAAGUAAGCAAAGCAAUGUAGUUUUUGACUGAAUUGAUAGAAUUAAACUAAAUUUUUAAGUCUAUCUCAUAAUUAAACAUUAUUAAAGGCCUUGAAAUGGAAUCCCUUCCUUGUGCAUUAGCUUUGCUAGCCCUAUGGCUGUGGCAUAAUCCCCUUCUCUCUGCAAAAUUCAAAAG
This 209-nucleotide unclassified non-coding RNA is filed under the name Hevea brasiliensis (rubber tree). Lineage: Eukaryota; Viridiplantae; Streptophyta; Magnoliopsida; Malpighiales; Euphorbiaceae. The record is from RNAcentral.